This 425-nucleotide ribosomal RNA is filed under the name uncultured bacterium. RNAcentral's name for it is "bacterial SSU rRNA". It matches the Rfam family "Bacterial small subunit ribosomal RNA", at positions 354 to 796 of the family's 1533-position model. The record is from RNAcentral.
GUGAGGAAUAUUGCACAAUGGGGGAAACCCUGAUGCAGCGACGCCGCGUGAAGGAAGAAGUAUUUCGGUAUGUAAACUUCUAUCAGCAGGGAAGAAAAUGACGGUACCUGACUAAGAAGCCCCGGCUAACUACGUGCCAGCAGCCGCGGUAAUACGUAGGGGGCAAGCGUUAUCCGGAUUUACUGGGUGUAAAGGGAGCGUAGACGGAGAGGCAAGUCUGAUGUGAAAACCCGGGGCUCAACCCCGGGACUGCAUUGGAAACUGUUUUUCUAGAGUGUCGGAGAGGUAAGCGGAAUUCCUAGUGUAGCGGUGAAAUGCGUAGAUAUUAGGAGGAACACCAGUGGCGAAGGCGGCUUACUGGACGAUGACUGACGUUGAGGCUCGAAAGCGUGGGGAGCAAACAGGAUUAGAAACCCUUGUAGUCC